Molecule: non-coding RNA, 4540 nt
Organism: Heterocephalus glaber (naked mole-rat)
Lineage: Eukaryota; Metazoa; Chordata; Mammalia; Rodentia; Bathyergidae
Source: RefSeq, a predicted model, not a curated record
AAUAAUAUAUAAUUAUAUGAUAAAUAUUAAUAUACUUUUUGAAAAGCUCUGAAUUUUUGCAAUCAUGAAAUCUAACUUUUAAUCUUCUACUCGUGUGAGCCAGAAGUCAUUAUUUUUAGUACACCACAGUGAUUAAUCCCUCCCUCCACAUAUUAGGUCUGUGACAUCAGGGAGGUUAUAGUCUCUUUGUGUCUUAUUUUUCUCAUUUUAAAAAUGGAAGUAAUAAAAGGAUUUUCCUCACAAUAUUAUUACUACUGAUGGGUGGAGGUUGUCGACAAAAGGAGCCAAGAAUGAUUUUCAGAUUUCUGGAAAUAUGGACUCCAGGAUAAGAACGAUAUAAGGGAAAGGUCAGAAUUAGGAUGUGCUCAUUUGAGCUGCCUGUCAACUUUAUUAGGCAUGAAGGAUGUUCAGAGUAGAUUUGAAAAUAAAGCUAAAACUUUAUGGGCUUGGAGUCCAUUCUCUUUAGAAAUACUGUAUUACAUGGUUUAGGUAAUACUGAACUAUUAAAGGUAGAUUUUUAACUAGUCCAAGCUUUUACAUUGACAGGUGAAGAAAUAAUAUAUUAGGUUUUACAAUUGGUGAUAAAGUAGCUGUUACGUUGGUGGUCCCAGAUGAAUCAAAUGUUCUGGUAGGCCUACAACUGUAUGGUUCCUUCCUCUUGGGUCUCUGAUUCACUGCAUUGAAUAGCAAUUGGCAGAAGUGACCCUAUGCUACUUGCAGGCCUAAACCUUAAGAUGACUCAGCAACUUCUGCUUUAUGCACAUGCAACUCCCUUAAGAAAUCUGGCUCUGGUGCAGGAGAGACAAAGUGAAGAGGCCACGUGGUGAGGAAGAUGCCUUGAGACAAGGAAAGAGGGAAAGACCAGCUGUUCUCUGUUCCAACCCCUGGUGACCAGUGCAGUGAGUAUAUGGGUGUUCGCCCUCAAGACUGGGCACAGUUGAGUGUCCUCAGUCCAAAGAAUUAUAAAAGAGAUAAUUUUAAAAAGAGAGAGGGAAGAUUUUUUUAAGUCACUAGGUGUUAAGGUUAUUUGUUACAUAUAAAUGGGUAAUCAAAACAGUGGUAGAGCCAAGACAAGAAUCUAAGUCUUCUGAGUGUUAGAGUAAUGUUCUUCUAGGGCAAGGGGUUCAUACUGUUAGAUUGUGCUCUUGCCUUUUAGAAGAUUAUAGAAUGCAGUUAAUAAUCUAUUUUUUCAGUUUUAUUGUAUAAUUUGCAUAAGAAUGAACAUAUUGACUAAAACAUACUGUAUCUGUGAUUUUAACAAUAGAUCUCUUUUUAUUUAGCCAUGAGAUUGAGCUACCCAGUCAUCCAUCCAUCCAUCCAUCCAUCCACUAAUCUAUUAUCUAUCACUUUAGAGCUUGCUACCAAAGAACUAGACUACAAUUCUAUACCAAACGUCUGUUUCACUCUGUGAUUUUCUAGGCCACUGAGGAAGUUCAGGGAAGAUGGAAUGAAAAAUCAAAGUUUUACACUUGUUAUGAUCUUAAUUUUAAGCCUUUGUAAUUCUCAUAAGGGGACUUUUCAAUGUAAUUGCUACUUUGUUGAAUGUCUCAAACUUUUCUUGAGUUUGAUAAACUUCAAGACAAUAGUCACACUCUUCUGUAAAUAAAGUAAGUGGAGUUCGGACUGUGACAACAUGUCAUCUCUCAAGCAAGUUAUAUUUCUCUGACACAUGUCUUCGAGGUAAAUCAUUUUUAUUUUUCUUUCUUGGGUGUGAAAUCCUAUAUGUUUGUGGGUUUAAUUUUAGGCAUCAUUGUAGAACAACAGGAAUCUUACUCAUUUCUACAUUAGAAUUAUAUUUGUUUGGGAAGUGCUCAGAAGUCUGUCUCAUGGCAUCUGACAGCUUGACAAGGCUUGUUGCCAUGGAAAACGUUUGUGAUGUUAUAUAAAUAUAUUCCUAGGUCAUGAGUUACCAUGUAUUUUUUGGACAUUGAUGCUAAGAGGGAAAUGACUAAACAUAUUUUUUAGAAAAGAAGAAUAACAUAGUAAACAAACAAUAAUAACAAAUAAUAAAUAUGUGUAUUGAGUAAACUGGUGCUCUAUUUUCUUAAGCAUUAGACUUAUGUGCUAACAAGCCUUUUAGCUAUAAAAGUUCAUUUAUUGCAAAGGCUUCCCCUCCCUUAAAAUAUUAUUACUAGCCAUUUUGCAAUAUUAAUGGUUCCACUAUUAAUAGACUGAGAGACAAGGGAGCUGUUAUUCUUGCUCUCUAUCUGUUAUUCCAUUAAGUAAGACUGCCAGCAGCUCUAUAAUGGACCAUGUGCUCGAGCCACAGGGUAUAUCCUAAGCAAAAGUUGUCCUCACAUGUUUUUUUUGGUGCACAUUAUGACUAGACAGGAAAAAGGUAUAAUAACAAGAUGCAAAGGGGGGCACUCGAUUCUGGUUAGGAUCUAAAAUAGUCAUUUUCAUUGGAUAUGAGGGGAGGUGAAGAAGUGUUAGGGAAAUGAUGUGGAAAGUCAUGGGUGACUGUGUAUUUUGUCCCCUUCUUAUGACUGAUGCCCUUUGUGAGUGUUCCAAUAGUACCUACAAUGAGAAAUACACAAGCUUGUUAUCCAUCCUUGUUUUUCUCUAACACACUAUCAUUUAUUCAACCUAUAAUGUGACCUGCCACCUUCUUAUGCUCAGGCAAACACUCCUGACUUCAGGAGUCGGUGGGAGCUGCUGGUUGAGAUGCGGUCAUUGCCAUGACCGCAUUGAAGACCUCUGCUGUUGUCCUUCCUUGAGUCAGUAAUGGAUAUUACAAACACCACCUUCUAAUGCCAGCACAGGGAGAGUGCAUAACUGUGAUUUGUAAGAAUGUCAUCUUUCUCCAAGUGAAUGCAAAGAGGCUUUCUACCACAGUCUGCAUUCACUGAUGGGCUGUGAUCCAUUGUGAGACACAAACAUAAAUCAAGAGGAGGUCAUAAAGUAGGUCCUUAUGUGGACAAGCAAAUUUAAGGAAAAUAAGGGAUCAUGAAGAUGAGGAAAUACAGCUUUCAUAAGCCUGGGUCCUUCCUUGAGUGAAUUCCACCGUCAUUAGGUUUUGAUAAUUAUUUGUUACCAUAGCAUAGCUUAACCUGACCUGACUGAAACAGCAUUUUAAUAAGGAAAUAAAGACGAAGAGGAAUUAAGUGAUUCAUUCAAAUUGGCAUGGCAAAGUUGCAAACCAAAUUUUCUGGUUCUUCUGUCCUAGGUUAACAAGCUCAAUUCAGGAUAAUAUGUCCUCUAGGAACUUCAAAAUUAAACAACAUCCAGGAUAAUAUAUCCCUCAAGAACCUCAAAAUUAAACAACAUCCGAUUUAGUGCACAUGUAAUGUAUUCAUUCACAUACAAAAUAAUUGGUUAUCAUGAUUGAAUUGAAAACUUAGAGUCCAUAAUUAUCGUCAAGUUGGAUGUUAAAAUAAGCAAAGAGUAAAUCCACUAACACAAGCCAUUUCGUGGAUAAGCAAAAUUGUAAUGUUGCAGCUUUCUAAAUAUCUGGAAUGGUGUAGUCUCUGAGUUAAAGCUAGCUUUUUCAUCAGACAAGGAAUACUUGACUACAAAGGAGUACUUCUACCUACAUUCUUAUGGGAGAUUGAGAAGGGAAAUAUCAGCCAAGAAGACAGUUCCUGGAACAUCCGUCGCUAGAUGAGGCGUCUAACGUAAUUGUAAGAAGCUUAGACACUUCACUUGCCGUUUAAGUUAAUACCCAUGGAUCCCUGACAUCUGGACAUGCUAAUCCAUGCUUGAGUGAAAAUGUACUUUACACACAGCCUUUUAGUUGCAAUAUAUUUUUGUAAGAUUUCAUGACUGUGUAGCCCAGUUUCUUCUUUUGUGCUAAAGAGACUUCUAAAAAAAAUGAAUUUAAUAUUUUGGCUACUUCAAAGCCACAUCCAUUUCACACUCAGUCUUCAUUUUGUGUUCAUUCUUACUGGUGAUAUUUUAAUAUUCCCUGUUUAACUACCUUUUAUGUAAUUUAAUUUUUGUAUUUUUGGCAGCCUGUGUCUUAUUUCUCUUAAGCUUUAAUCAAUGCCAACUACUUUAUUUCUUUACCUGAUGUUUUGCUCAUUUCCUCCACAGACUAAUCUUUCAGGAUUUAUGGGAUAUAUGUAAUUUCUUAUUCAAAAUAGUCUUAGGAGCAAUAUACUUAAACUCCACAGGAAACAAGAAACACUUUUGUAAUACUUGUUAUACCUUUAAGUAACAAGGUGGUUACAACUCACUUAGAUCUUUAAUUCUUCAGUUUCCCCACCAACUAAAUAUAAAUAAUGACUAUCUUCCUCAUUUAAAUUCAAGGAUUAUUUUGGAAAAAAAUGAAAUUAUGUGUCUAAAUUUCCUGUAGUCUUGUAAAAAGAGCCAUACUGCAUAUAUUUAGGCUAUAAUAAUCACACCCAUAUAUAUUUGGGACAUGGCAUUUAAAACAAUUAUGCUAUAUAGCAUUUGGAAUGAGCUAUCAUGUUCAAUGUUUAACAGAGUUUUCAAGUGUUAAAGUAAAUUACAAGUUUAUUUCACAAAGAACUCAUCAGUCAUGUAUGGGUUUAAAGAUUAUGUCUGAAAAAGGAUAUUCUGGUUUUAAAAAAUCAAAGUA